RNAcentral lists this ribosomal RNA (497 nucleotides) under uncultured bacterium. RNAcentral describes it as "partial 16S ribosomal RNA". It matches the Rfam family "Bacterial small subunit ribosomal RNA", at positions 28 to 507 of the family's 1533-position model. The record is from RNAcentral.
GACGAACGCUGGCGGCGUGCCUAAUACAUGCAAGUAGAACGCUGAAGAGAGGAGCUUGCUCUUCUUGGAUGAGUUGCGAACGGGUGAGUAACGCGUAGGUAACCUGCCUUGUAGCGGGGGAUAACUAUUGGAAACGAUAGCUAAUACCGCAUAACAAUGGAUGACACAUGUCAUUUAUUUGAAAGGGGCAAUUGCUCCACUACAAGAUGGACCUGCGUUGUAUUAGCUAGUAGGUGAGGUAAUGGUUCACCUAGGCGACGAUACAUAGCCGACCUGAGAGGGUGAUCGGCCACACUGGGACUGAGACACGGCCCAGACUCCUACGGGAGGCAGCAGUAGGGAAUCUUCGGCAAUGGGGGCAACCCUGACCGAGCAACGCCGCGUGAGUGAAGAAGGUUUUCGGAUCGUAAAGCUCUGUUGUAAGUCAAGAACGGGUGUGAGAGUGGAAAGUUCACACUGUGACGGUAGCUUACCAGAAAGGGACGGCUAACUACGUG